This 498-nucleotide ribosomal RNA is filed under the name uncultured bacterium. RNAcentral's name for it is "partial 16S ribosomal RNA". It matches the Rfam family "Bacterial small subunit ribosomal RNA", at positions 28 to 507 of the family's 1533-position model. The record is from RNAcentral.
GAUGAACGCUGGCGGCGUGCCUAAUACAUGCAAGUCGAGCGAACAGACGAGGAGCUUGCUCCUCUGACGUUAGCGGCGGACGGGUGAGUAACACGUGGAUAACCUACCUAUAAGACUGGGAUAACUUCGGGAAACCGGAGCUAAUACCGGAUAAUAUAUUUGAACCGCAUGGUUCAAUAGUGAAAGACGGUUUUGCUGUCACUUAUAGAUGGAUCCGCGCCGCAUUAGCUAGUUGGUAAGGUAACGGCUUACCAAGGCAACGAUGCGUAGCCGACCUGAGAGGGUGAUCGGCCACACUGGAACUGAGACACGGUCCAGACUCCUACGGGAGGCAGCAGUAGGGAAUCUUCCGCAAUGGGCGAAAGCCUGACGGAGCAACGCCGCGUGAGUGAUGAAGGUCUUCGGAUCGUAAAACUCUGUUAUUAGGGAAGAACAAAUGUGUAAGUAACUAUGCACGUCUUGACGGUACCUAAUCAGAAAGCCACGGCUAACUACGUG